Molecule: long non-coding RNA, 1545 nt
Filed under: Mytilus galloprovincialis (Mediterranean mussel)
Lineage: Eukaryota; Metazoa; Mollusca; Bivalvia; Mytilida; Mytilidae
Source: RNAcentral
GAAAUAGUGUCAAUGCAAUGUUAAAGAUUCUCUCUUUCUCUUUUUUCUACUGGUUACAAAUUAUGGGAAUGGUAAUUUUCAAUAAACCAUAAAGGUUCUCUUCACAACUGUUAAAAAAUUAUUGGGGAUGUUAAGAAAUAUGAAAGUUGAUUUUGUUUAAGAUUAUUUGAUCUGUGGAUGAUGGUACCAGGAAAAAGAUAAAGCGAGAUGUAUAUUUUGUCUACAAUUUGUAUGGAAGUUGUUUUAUUGAUUCCCUUCUUACUUGUUUUUGGUGCUUUUUGUUAAAAUACCAAACAUUUUGUGUUCACAACUAUAUUAUCUUUUUGUUUACAUAUCUGAGAUUAUUUGUAAGAAGUGUGUUACCUCUACCUCUUUGUAAACUUGUUGACUGUGUGACAAUUAAGUAGAAGGAUUGUAUUAAGGCCAUGGUUUUUUAAUUUGUUGGUUAAAGGAUCUUCCCCAUGAAAAAGUCGGGUCGGUUGGUUGGAAAAAAAAGGAAAAAAAGUAUCACUCAAGACAGAAAAAGAUGCAAAAUAAAUAUAUAUUUCACCUUUCUAACAAUAUAUUUGUCAUAAUUUCUUAAAUUUUAGUUCAAUGAAAUAGUAUUGCUCAACUGUCAUAAACAUUGUUUAUAAUUUCCCGUAAAAAAGGGGGGGGUGCACAGACAAAGAAGAAAAAUAAUAGUCAUUUCACAAACAAGAAAAACAGAUUCGAUUAGCUCUUAAUCAAUUACAGAAAACAUGGUGAAUAAUGAUCUUCAAGCACGAAAACUGAUAAAGAAAAAAAAUGUAAAAACGUCGUACGAAAAUAAAAUUCAACACACGUGUCAAGAACGUAAUAGACUCGUCCACUGGAAAAACGAGAAUAUCGGGUUAAUCUGUUGUCAUGCAUUCACGUUUUUUAUCCAAAUAGACAAUAUUUUUUUCAUUUUCUAUGAAACACGCGAGUUCCAAAUGAUUUGUUAAUAUUCAGUACUUUAACUUGAUGUCUUUUACCUGUCCACAUUUGGACAAGUCUAUUUCUAUGAGAUGAUGCAUCUUACGGAUUGAUGACAAAUAAGGGAAACAAACUUAUUUUUAAAUGGUUUUAAACACAGGUUUCAAGGCCAGCUAUGUUUAUUUUUAAAAACGUAAACUUGAACUGUAACAGAAAGUGUUUUGUUAGUGAUUAAUGAAUUUCAUUUCAUAAAAAAAGAAUAUUUUAAUUAUUUUUCAGGGAUAAUGUAUUUGUUAGGGUCGGCGGGAAUAAAUAAAGCAUGAAAAGUGAAUUUUAUUUUUGUUCUGGAAAUCGGCAAAAUCGUGUCGGCGGAUCCGUAAACCAACAAAUUAAAAAAUCCUGGCCUAAGUUAUAACAUAUCUGUGGACACAUAUUUUGUUACAAAUGAAGUUCAUUAUGAUGUUAACAAAUAUUUCAUGGCCCAUCACAUUGUAUUAUAAUAUAUAGAUCUAAUAAGUCUGAUACUGAAGAUGAAUAUAUAUAUAUGACUUGUGUUGCUUCUAUGGAGAAAAUGAUAUCCACUGUUUUGUAUAUUUAAACAUAUUGCAC